CACCUACUACAACUGCAGCUUGACUAAAGAAAUGGUGAUUUAUUUUCCAAAGAUAACUGUAAUGGAUUCACUGAGAAACUGUACAUUGACUUGCCAUGUGGCCCCUUUCUAAAGACUUUUUCAAUAACAAUUUUGAUAUCCUGCAUGUUCCUUUUCUUUCGCCUUGACUUUAAAAUUAAGCCCCUGCAUAAGAUGGUGUGACAGAUAUUUAUUUAUUUAUUUAUUUUUUUACUAUAGUUGCUGCAUCGGCAUUCAUUUCUAGGCCUAACAUGAGUGUUUUGAAACCCAGUAGUACCUUUGGACUAGUUAAAAUUUCCCCUCUCUGUGCAUUUGUUUGUGAGAUAGCCCACUUGCUCCUCAUCCCACUGACAAAACACCAAGACACCUCACAGCUGCUGACCACAAAUAUCCCAAAUGAUCAACACCAGGGUCAUGUAAAUAAAUUCUCCACUUCCCACGUGUUUCUGUAAACUAGCCAAUCCACAACCCCUGAGGGAAAACCUAAGUGUUAUCACACGUGGACCUUAAUAAGGGCAUAGUCCCAAAUGCUUUUAUUGAGAGGUCCACGGGUCGUCUUUUUCUCUCCCCUUACCUGCAGGCUGGGCUCCCUUCCACCUCUUCUCACUGGCCUCCUGUUUGUACCCCUGACCUCUCCGGGAUCGGGAUCCCAACACUGUCUUCUGCAAUGAAAACCCUGAUUUUCUAUAUCUGGACAAAAGACUAGGACAUAACGAGAAUUUUAGCGGAAGGAACUGAGGGAGAGAGAUUGCACAGCAGACAAGGACAAAUAAAGGGAAGGUGGAAACAAGGUCUUGCUAUGUCACCCAGGCUGGAGUGCAGUUGCGCCAUCUCGGAUCACCACAACCUCCACCUCCUGUGUUCAAGUGAUCUGCCUCAGCCUCCCAAGUAGCUGAGAUGACAGACAACCCAAGGCCAUUCCAAGUGCUUUUCCCUAUUUGACUCUUGAAGGGCUGCUGCUGCUGAUAAUCAGAAGAGUCAUCAGUUCUGUUUACCAAAUACUCUUAUUGCUAUAAUUUGGAUGUUUGUCCCAUCAAACCUCGUGUUGAAAUUUGAUCCCCAAUGUUGGAGGCAGGGGGACUAAUGGGAAGUGUUUGGGUCAUGGGAGUGAACUGUUCACGAAUGGAUUGGUGUCAUCCUAUGGUAAUGAGUAUGUUCUCACUCUUAUUCCCGAGAAAGCUGGUUGUUAAAAAAGAGCCUGGCACCUUCCUCUACUUUCUCUCUUGCUUCCUUUCUCACCAUGUGAUAUCUACACACGUCAGCUCCAUUUCACCUUCUGCCAUGAGUGGACGUGGUCUGAGGCCCUCAGCAUAAGCAGAUGCCGGUCCCAUGCUUCUUGUAUGGCCUACAGAACCGAGAACCAAAUAAACUUUAUAAAUUACCCAGCCUCGGGGUUCUUUUAUAGCAACACAAAUGGGCUAAGACACUCUAACGUAACACUCUAUCCUGGAAAUCCUGAGGAAUAAGUAUUGUUACUCUCCUCAUUUUAUACCUUAAGAAAUGGAAGCUGAGUAAAACAAAAUUAUUUGCCAAAGGCCACAGGCUAAAAAUUGUCAUAAAACCAUUGUUAGGAAAGAAUCAAAUCACUUAAGUGCAAUAUUUGUCUUUGCUGUCCGCCCUCCCUCCUUUCUUCCUUUCCUUCAACUGUCUCUCGGUUCUUCUCUGCCUCCUUCCCUCCCAUACCUUUUCCCUUCCCCCUCUCUCUCCCCUUCCUCUCCCUCUCUGCAUGUCUUUCUCUUACAAUGUCUUUCUUGUACUCUCUCUCUCUCUCUCUCUCAGAUGCUCUGUCUCUCUCCUUUCUCUUGCCCUCACUGUCUCCCCUUCUUUCUCUACCAACAUUGACAUUUAGAGUCUUUACCCAAGUAAAGUCUGUCAUAUUCCUAUGAAUUAAGCCAGCUCCACUCUAUUAGAGAAUAUUAGCUAUAUAUCUGAGCUUCAACAAAUUUUGCAUGAAAUGUGAUAUGUGGGAGCUCCAAGUUUGUAACUGCUGUCAAUUUCUUCUGAGAGAACAUCUUUGUUAGGGUGACCAAGAAAUUUAUUGUCCAAAUUGGAAUAUACUCAGAUUAAAAUGAACAAUAAAAAUAAUGAAAAUUAUAUGAUAAAAUAAUUUUGAAAUAUUUACUUAUUAAGUAGGUAUACAGUUAUAUUAAAACAACUUUAAUAUACAUAAUUCCUUCUAAAAAUAAGAAUAAAAAAUUUUAAAAAUAUGGAUUAUAGAAACACUAAUAGUAACAUAUGCAAAAUAAUUAUUCAGGUUCUUAAGGCCAAGUGUGUUUCUUAUAUCAAGUCACUGAUACUUU
RNAcentral lists this long non-coding RNA (2318 nucleotides) under Homo sapiens (human). RNAcentral's name for it is "HSALNT0145911". The record is from RNAcentral. Lineage: Eukaryota; Metazoa; Chordata; Mammalia; Primates; Hominidae.